This 492-nucleotide ribosomal RNA is filed under the name uncultured bacterium. Its description in RNAcentral is "partial 16S ribosomal RNA". It matches the Rfam family "Bacterial small subunit ribosomal RNA", at positions 29 to 507 of the family's 1533-position model. The record is from RNAcentral.
AGUGAACGCUGGCGGUAGGCCUAACACAUGCAAGUCGAACGGCAGCACAGUAAGAGCUUGCUCUUACGGGUGGCGAGUGGCGGACGGGUGAGGAAUACAUCAGACUCUACUUUUUCGUGGGGGAUAACGUAGGGAAACUUACGCUAAUACCGCAUACGACCUACGGGUGAAAGCAGGGGAUCUUCGGACCUUGCGCGAUUGAAUGAGCCGAUGUCGGAUUGGCUAGUUGGCGGGGUAAAGGCCCACCAAGGCGACGAUCCGUAGCUGGUCGGAGAGGAUGAUCAGCCACACUGGAGCUGGGACACGGUCCAGGCUCCUACGGGAGGCAGCAGUGGGGAAUAUUGGACAAUGGGCGCAAGCCUGAUCCAGCCAUACCGCGUGGGUGAAGAAGGCCUUCGGGUUGUAAAGCCCUUUUGUUGGGAAAGAAAAGCAGCAGGUUAAUACCCCGCUGUUCUGACGGUACCCAAAGAAUAAGCACCGGCUAACUUCGUG